CGUAUAACAAAUAAAAAUAAAGUUGAAUAUCCAACUAUUCGGGAUGGAAGAAAGGCAAGGGAAAUAAUGAGGAACUUAGAGAUGAAGAGGAAACUCACCCGAGUUCACUCAGUUAAUAAACAGGAAACAUAUCCUACUCCUAAACCAUCCACUCCGCCCUCUGCUUCUGGACAGAGAUCUUUCAUGAGUGUUGGUUGGUGACAAGAACAUGAAACUACAUAGUUUGGAAAAUUUUCAGGUUUUUUUUUUUUUUUUUU
This 257-nucleotide long non-coding RNA is filed under the name Homo sapiens (human). RNAcentral's name for it is "HSALNT0019587". The record is from RNAcentral. Lineage: Eukaryota; Metazoa; Chordata; Mammalia; Primates; Hominidae.